This 484-nucleotide ribosomal RNA is filed under the name uncultured bacterium. Its description in RNAcentral is "partial 16S ribosomal RNA". It matches the Rfam family "Bacterial small subunit ribosomal RNA", at positions 30 to 507 of the family's 1533-position model. The record is from RNAcentral.
AUUGAACGCUAGCGGGAUGCUUUACACAUGCAAGUCGAACGGCAGCGCGGACUUCGGUCUGGCGGCGAGUGGGGAACGGGUGAGUAAUGUAUCGGAACGUGCCCAGUAGCGGGGGAUAACUACGCGAAAGCGUAGCUAAUACCGCAUACGCCCUACGGGGGAAAGCAGGGGAUCGUAAGACCUUGCACUAUUGGAGCGGCCGAUAUCGGAUUAGCUAGUUGGUGAGGUAACGGCUCACCAAGGCGACGAUCCGUAGCUGGUUUGAGAGGACGACCAGCCACACUGGGACUGAGACACGGCCCAGACUCCUACGGGAGGCAGCAGUGGGGAAUUUUGGACAAUGGGGGCAACCCUGAUCCAGCCAUCCCGCGUGUGCGAUGAAGGCCUUCGGGUUGUAAAGCACUUUUGGCAGGAAAGAAACGUCGCGGGCUAAUACCCCGUGGAACUGACGGUACCUGCAGAAUAAGCACCGGCUAACUACGUG